This 448-nucleotide ribosomal RNA is filed under the name uncultured bacterium. Its description in RNAcentral is "partial 16S ribosomal RNA". It matches the Rfam family "Bacterial small subunit ribosomal RNA", at positions 330 to 793 of the family's 1533-position model. The record is from RNAcentral.
UCCAGACUCCUACGGGAGGCAGCAGUGGGGGAUAUUGCACAAUGGGGGGAACCCUGAUGCAGCAACGCCGCGUGAAGGAAGAAGGCUUUCGGGUUGUAAACUUCUUUUGACAGGGAAGAGCAGAAGACGGUACCUGUCGAAUAAGCCACGGCUAACUACGUGCCAGCAGCCGCGGUAAUACGUAGGUGGCAAGCGUUGUCCGGAUUUACUGGGUGUAAAGGGCGUGUAGCCGGGCUGACAAGUCAGAUGUGAAAUCCGGGGGCUCAACCCCCGAACUGCAUUUGAAACUGUUGGUCUUGAGUAUCGGAGAGGCAGGCGGAAUUCCUAGUGUAGCGGUGAAAUGCGUAGAUAUUAGGAGGAACACCAGUGGCGAAGGCGGCCUGCUGGACGACAACUGACGGUGAGGCGCGAAAGCGUGGGGAGCAAACAGGAUUAGAUACCCCCGUAA